GCCUGUGUAGCUCAGCGGUAGAGCGCUUCCUUGGUAAGGAAGAGGUCCCGGGUUCAAAUCUCGGCACUGGCUCGA
This 75-nucleotide transfer RNA is filed under the name Candidatus Azobacteroides pseudotrichonymphae genomovar. CFP2. RNAcentral's name for it is "tRNA-Thr". It matches the Rfam family "tRNA". Rfam says of the family: Transfer RNA (tRNA) molecules are approximately 80 nucleotides in length. Their secondary structure includes four short double-helical elements and three loops (D, anti-codon, and T loops). Lineage: Bacteria; Pseudomonadati; Bacteroidota; Bacteroidia; Bacteroidales. The record is from RNAcentral.